CUGGGCACAAGAGUAGAGGAGGAGGAGAAGAGUGAAUGAGCUGCUACCGGCCUGGCUUGUGGCACAGACAGUUUGAUCCAGGUGUUUAAAGUGCAUCUGGAGGUCUGUCUUCUCAUGCACUCCAGUAGCCUGUGUGUGUGUUGGAGCAGUAUGGAAGUAAAGCGAUGCGUACAGGGUCCCACAGUCUCCAGAGUAAGACUCAGUGAUUUAGCUUGGACUCCCCCGGAUCUUGUCUCAUUAAUCACUGAACAUAUUCCAGUUGAAAAAGAACAGGUAUUUUGGAAGGUGCUGUUGGUUUUGCUAAGUGAUGAGGAAUAUGCCAAGGAUGACCACAGCAGGUGGCACGUGGUGCGCUGUCUGACUGUGAGCUCGAUACUACUGAAAUGCAGAAAGAUUUGCUUGGAACAAGUUUCUCAUCCUUCCCCCUCGAGUGAGGAGUGAAGAUGUUUCAGAAGACGAUAUUUAUUGGCUUUCAGCUUUACUACAGUUGAAACAGUUGCUUCAGGCCAAAUCUUUCUGUCCAUUAGUUCCCCUGGUGGUCCUUGUCCCUGGUCAGGAAGAGGAGGCCACCGAGAAAGAAGUAGAAGAAGGUUUACUGCUGCAGGACUUGAAUUCAGCCCAGCUUAUUUUAGAGUACACCAUUGUUGAGCUUCCAGGUUCCAUCAAUGACUUACAGGGCACCAGAAGGAUCACUGAGACUGUUGGCUGGCUGGCUUCCCAGUACCCUAAUUCCCUUGAGCAUUACAGUCAGACCCUUCAGGAGUAUGUUGAGGAUGGGAUUGAUCAUGAAUUUGGCAAGCGCUUCUACGGUGACUGGAAAGAGAGGCGUUCAGCUGACUUGCUGUCUCAGGAGCCUGGGGUCAUCAUUGAGCUGUACAAAGUGUGCUUCAGUUUCUUUCUGAUGUGGCAUCCUUGGAGCAUUUUUGUGACUUGUCUUGGCAUAUUACUGAGUUUUCAGAGCCUGGGGGUAACAAGCUGUUGCUCCACUUGCAGUGGAACAUGCCUGAUCGUCUGGCCUUGCUGAAAAAUCCUGUGCUGUUCUUCCAGAUCCUGUACCUAGAUCUGCCUCCAUUAGGUGGUACAUGUUCUGUGCUGCAGCAGGUGGCACAUCAUUCCCUCAGAUGUGCCUGCACUGUGUUAACUGUCUGGCUCUAAUGUGGGUAGUUUGGCUCUGUCACAAAUUCUUUCAAUUUGAUUUGGUUUUAAUCCAUAGCUCCUUGGCAUCCUGUUUGCCACAUGAUUUUCUAGUAUGUGUCUCAGAUUGCUAGUUCGUCCAGUACUCGACCACUGAUCCUGUCUCAAGUGGAGAAUCUGCUCAGCAAAACUUACCAGAAUUGGGAGAACAAGACAUCUGGGAACUCUGAUGAAGAUGGACUUUCUGUUGAUGACAUCCCUUGGGAUGAUAUCUUGGCAGUCUGCAUUGAUCACAGACUGAAAGACUGGAAACCACCCAAACUGCCGAUUGCUCCAGGUAU
Long non-coding RNA from Cuculus canorus (common cuckoo), 1475 nucleotides. RefSeq lists it as uncharacterized. The transcript is spliced from 5 exons. Lineage: Eukaryota; Metazoa; Chordata; Aves; Cuculiformes; Cuculidae. The record is from RefSeq and is a predicted model, not a curated record.